This 253-nucleotide ribosomal RNA is filed under the name uncultured bacterium. RNAcentral's name for it is "partial 16S ribosomal RNA". It matches the Rfam family "Bacterial small subunit ribosomal RNA", at positions 524 to 776 of the family's 1533-position model. The record is from RNAcentral.
UACAGAGGGUGCAAGCGUUAUUCGGAAUUAUUGGGCGUAAAGAGCGCGUAGGCGGUUUGAUAAGUCUGAUGUGAAAUCCCUGGACUCAAUCCAGGAAGUGCAUUGGAUACUGUCAGGCUGGAGUACAGGAGAGGUGAGCGGAAUUCCCGGUGUAGAGGUGAAAUUCGUAGAUAUCGGGAGGAACAACAGUGGCGAAGGCGGCUCACUGGACUGUAACUGACGCUGAGGCGCGAAAGCGUGGGGAGCAAACAGG